This 28-nucleotide non-coding RNA is filed under the name unclassified sequences. The record is from RNAcentral.
CAACCGCUGGCACAAUACGUGGAUGUUG